GACGAACGCUGGCGGCGUGCUUAACACAUGCAAGUCGAACGGAAAGGCCCCCAUCUUGGUGGGGGUGCUCGAGUGGCGAACGGGUGAGUAACACGUGGGUGAUCUGCCCUGUACUUCGGGAUAAGCUUGGGAAACUGGGUCUAAUACCGGAUAGGACCAUGGUUUAGUGUCUCAUGGUGGAAAGAUUAUUGUUUUGGUGCAGGAUGAGCUCGCGGCCUAUCAGCUUGUUGGUGGGGUAAUGGCCUACCAAGGCGUCGACGGGUAGCCGGCCUGAGAGGGUGGACGGCCACAUUGGGACUGAGAUACGGCCCAGACUCCUACGGGAGGCAGCAGUGGGGAAUAUUGCACAAUGGGCGCAAGCCUGAUGCAGCGACGCCGCGUGGGGGAUGACGGCCUUCGGGUGGUAAACUCCUUUCGGUAGGGACGAAGCCACGCUUUUGGGGUGUGGUGACGGUACCUUUGUGAAGAAGCACCGGCUAACUACGUG
RNAcentral lists this ribosomal RNA (487 nucleotides) under uncultured bacterium. RNAcentral describes it as "partial 16S ribosomal RNA". It matches the Rfam family "Bacterial small subunit ribosomal RNA", at positions 28 to 507 of the family's 1533-position model. The record is from RNAcentral.